This 520-nucleotide ribosomal RNA is filed under the name uncultured Glomus. RNAcentral describes it as "SSU rRNA". It matches the Rfam family "Eukaryotic small subunit ribosomal RNA", at positions 569 to 1083 of the family's 1831-position model. Lineage: Eukaryota; Fungi; Glomeromycota; Glomeromycetes; Glomerales; Glomeraceae. The record is from RNAcentral.
AGCAGCCGCGGUAAUUCCAGCUCCAAUAGCGUAUAUUAAAGUUGCUGCAGUUAAAAAGCUCGUAGUUGAAUUUCGGGACUAAUAUGUCGGUCGUGCCUCGGUACGUACUGGUUUAUUGGUUUCUCCUUUCUGAAGAACCAUGAUGUCAUUUAUUUGGUGUCGUUGGGGGAAUUCAGGACUGUUACUUUGAAAAAAAUUUAGAGUGUUUUAAAGGCAGGCUCACGCUUGAAAUACAUUAGCAUGGAAUAAUGAAAUAGGACGUUUGAUUCUAUUUUGUUGGUUUCUAGGAUCGACGUAAUGAUUAAUAGGGAUAGUUGGGGGCAUUAGUAUUCAAUUGUCAGAGGUGAAAUUCUUGGAUUUAUUGAAGACUAACUACUGCGAAAGCAUUUGCCAAGGAUGUUUUCAUUAAUCAAGAACGAAAGUUAGGGGAUCGAAGACGAUCAGAUACCGUCGUAGUCUUAACCAUAAACUAUGCCGACUAGGGAUCGGAUGAUGUUAAUUUUUUCAAUGACUCAUUCGG